Long non-coding RNA from Mya arenaria, 282 nucleotides. RefSeq lists it as uncharacterized. NCBI's taxonomy places the organism in Eukaryota, Metazoa, Mollusca, Bivalvia, Myida, Myidae. The transcript has 3 exons. The record is from RefSeq and is a predicted model, not a curated record.
UGUCAAUCGGAACUCCUCGGCUAGUAUCAAGAUAUGGCCUCGGAUAUAAUACGGGUCGUAAGAAAAUAGUCCAUCAUGGCCGACCAAGAAGAUGUUCAAACAACCAAGAGAUAUGUUAGUCCAAAGACAGAAUGAGGAGCGAACUUUUACCACUUAUUUGUGUAGAAGAGUAUGGUACCAGGGGUGCAGCUGACUCUGAUUCCCGGCUUGUUCAAAUGAAAAAAGGCAGAUGAGGCACUGGAAUCCGAAUGUAAUAAAAAAUGCCAUUGUAUGAGGAUUGAC